RNAcentral lists this ribosomal RNA (540 nucleotides) under uncultured archaeon. RNAcentral's name for it is "bacterial SSU rRNA". It matches the Rfam family "Archaeal small subunit ribosomal RNA", at positions 97 to 642 of the family's 1478-position model. The record is from RNAcentral.
CACGUGGAUAACCUGCCCUAAGGUGGGGCAUAACCCCGGGAAACUGGGGAUAAUACCCCAUAGGUUAGAGAUGCUGGAAUGCCCUUUAACCCAAAGCUCCGGCGCCUUAGGAUGGAUCUGCGGCCGAUUAGGUAGUUGUUGGGGUAACGGCCCAACAAGCCUGUAAUCGGUACGGGUUGUGGGAGCAAGAGCCCGGAGAUGGACUCUGAGACACGAGUCCAGGCCCUACGGGGCGCAGCAGGCGCGAAAACUUUACAAUGCAGGAAACUGUGAUAAGGGAACCCCGAGUGCCCGUAUACGCGGGCUGUCCAGGUGUGUAAAAAGCAUCUGAAGAAAGGGCCGGGCAAGACCGGUGCCAGCCGCCGCGGUAAUACCGGCGGCUCGAGUGGUGGCCACUUUUAUUGGGCUUAAAGCGUUCGUAGCUUGGUUGUUAAGUCUCUUGGGAAAUCUCACGGCUCAACCGUGAGGCGUCUAAGGGAUACUGGUAACCUAGGGACCGGAAGAGGUGAGAGGUACUCCAGGGGUAGGAGUGAAAUCCUG